GAGUCAUCGAAACGCUUAGUGCGAGCUGGUGGAAUGUCAACAAUAUAGGGAUGGUACUGUGGAAAGUGUCUAUUGUUAUGUGUGUAGUAAGGACGUUUAUAAAUCACAACACAGUCUUAGGAAAACACCAAACAGUUUAUUGACGUCACACACAGAAUAACUGUCCACAAUAAGAAGGAGUAAGAAGUAGAUAGAUAACAAGGUCACAAAUCACAGUAGAAUAUCGAAACAGAAAUUUACAUAAACUAACUAGGUCACGAAUGAAUUAAGCGCGCGCGCAAUGUUUUUAUGCAAAAUCGACAGCUGACUAAGAUUGACUGGCGCGCGUCAGGCGAACGCGGCGGCUGCGGCGGGGGGCGUUCAUCCACGGAACCGGUUGGCCCGACCGCCGCCGCUCGCGCCGUGCUGAUCGUGCAUUCACAAAAAUAUCUAAUAAUAAAACGAAUUGCGCGCUGUGUUUGUGCGUUUAACAAGAUUGACAAAAGUUAUAUAAAAAUAAGUAUGCUAUUUAUUAUACACAGUGUAGUUACGUUAAGUAGGUUUAGUACAGAUACAUAUUUAUAAUAUUUUUACAAUUAUAUUAAUUUAAGAUAAACUAUGAAAAAUAUAUAUUAACUUAAUUUUAAGAGGUUAAACGCCACAUAAGUAAGAAUUGGGUCGUUUUGGGGUUCUCAUUUCAUUAUGAAAUGGUUCAGAGUUACAAGAUUGAGAAGAAGUAGGUCGUUGUGGGUAUUAGGUGAUAAGGUACUACGAUUAUUUAAUUAUUUAUAAACAUGCCGUGUAUCUCGUACAUGAUAAAUAGUACGUUCAUUUUCAGGUAGCCCUCGUAUUUUUUGGCAAGUAACUUGCAGUACAAAUCGCACUCGUCUUCUUCAGUUCUUCGGUCUUUUAGAACAUUAUUAAAAGUAUUAAAUGACGUCUCCUUCAUCUGCUUGCUAGCUUCAUUGAUGAGAUAUUCAGAACUUUUUGCUCGUUGACGCGGGUGCUGCAGUGGUUACAUCCAGUUUCAAUAGUAUGUGCACAGGUGGCAUGCGCUUCCCUUCCACAAUUAAAAUCUCAAUGGAGCAUAAUUAAAAUGACCAAAAAGAAAGCAUACCAAGUCCUCAUUCCCUAUUUCAAUAUUGUGCAAUACUGCAAGUGCGACAAUAGUUGGUUUUACAUUGUGCAUAUGCACUGUUAAACCAUUUAAUAAACAUUGUAACCGCUAUUUCCAUACACCAAAGCAACGUUCAACACAGUUGAGAGUGGCAAUCUGGGUUUGAUUGUAUCUUUGUUCCUGUUCAUUUUGAGGCCUUAAUGUGGGUGUAAAAAGAUAUAACUAGUUGAUACCCAGAAUACCCCAAGUCUUCCUCUGAACUAGCCUCGUUCAAAGCGUUCUUUAAGAGUGGACUCAUUAAAUCACCUUGCAACAAUGUCUAUUAUUUUUAGUUCGGCAUCACAAGUUACUUGUACGUUCAUAGAGUAAUAUCCUUUUCUGUCUAUAUUAUACUGAGCUGCGUCACCACCAUAU
Long non-coding RNA from Ostrinia furnacalis (Asian corn borer), 1510 nucleotides. RefSeq lists it as uncharacterized. NCBI's taxonomy places the organism in Eukaryota, Metazoa, Arthropoda, Insecta, Lepidoptera, Crambidae. The transcript is spliced from 2 exons. The record is from RefSeq and is a predicted model, not a curated record.